UUCUAAGUCACAGGAUGAGAAGGAUGUUGGC
This 31-nucleotide non-coding RNA is filed under the name Homo sapiens (human). Lineage: Eukaryota; Metazoa; Chordata; Mammalia; Primates; Hominidae. The record is from RNAcentral.